GGGUCAGUAGGUUGGUCGUGCCACCGGUACGUACUGGUCUCACUGAUUCCUCCUUCCUGAAGAGCCGUAAUGCCAUUAAUUUGGUGUUGCGGGGAAACAGGACUGUUACUUUGAAAAAAUUAGAGUGUUUAAAGCAAGCUAACGCUUGAAUACAUUAGCGUGGAAUAAUGAAAUAGGACGAUCGAUCCUAUUUUGUUGGUUUCUAGGAUUGACGUA
Molecule: ribosomal RNA, 216 nt
Filed under: Glomeromycotina sp.
Lineage: Eukaryota; Fungi; Glomeromycota
Description: partial small subunit ribosomal RNA
Rfam family: Eukaryotic small subunit ribosomal RNA (bases 40-216)
Source: RNAcentral